GGGGGGGCUAUGGUUUUUUUUUCUGGACAAAUUGUUUUUUUCGCCUGCGGCGAAAAACAAUCUAUUUUUUUCGUGACAAGUCGAAAACAAUUUUGUUCUUUCAAUUUUAGCAUUACAUAUAGUGGCAGCUGAGGGUGAAACAAACAAUUUUUUUUUCUCAAAAUCAAAAACAAAUUAUUUUUUUCUCCAAAAACUGGAUACAAAC
This 205-nucleotide long non-coding RNA is filed under the name Mytilus galloprovincialis (Mediterranean mussel). The record is from RNAcentral. Lineage: Eukaryota; Metazoa; Mollusca; Bivalvia; Mytilida; Mytilidae.